CCUACGGGAGGCAGCAGUAGGGAAUCUUCCGCAAUGGACGAAAGUCUGACGGAGCGACGCCGCGUGAGCGAUGAAGGUCUUCGGAUUGUAAAGCUCUGUUGUUAGGGAAGAACAAGUACCGGAGUAACUGCCGGUACCUUGACGGUACCUAACCAGAAAGCCCCGGCUAACUACGUGCCAGCAGCCGCGGUAAU
This 194-nucleotide ribosomal RNA is filed under the name uncultured bacterium SP31-12. RNAcentral describes it as "partial 16S rRNA". It matches the Rfam family "Bacterial small subunit ribosomal RNA", at positions 338 to 524 of the family's 1533-position model. The record is from RNAcentral.